RNAcentral lists this ribosomal RNA (422 nucleotides) under uncultured Edaphobaculum sp. RNAcentral describes it as "bacterial SSU rRNA". It matches the Rfam family "Bacterial small subunit ribosomal RNA", at positions 355 to 774 of the family's 1533-position model. The record is from RNAcentral. Lineage: Bacteria; Pseudomonadati; Bacteroidota; Chitinophagia; Chitinophagales; Chitinophagaceae.
UGAGGAAUAUUGGUCAAUGGACGCAAGUCUGAACCAGCCAUGCCGCGUGAAGGAUGAAGGCCUUCUGGGUUGUAAACUUCUUUUAUUGGGGAAGAAAAUUAUGGUUUCUACUAUAACCGACGGUACCCAAGGAAUCAGCACCGGCUAACUCCGUGCCAGCAGCCGCGGUAAUACGGAGGGUGCAAGCGUUAUCCGGAUUCACUGGGUUUAAAGGGUGUGUAGGCGGGCUAUUAAGUCAGUGGUGAAAUCUCCGGGCUCAACUCGGAAACUGCCAUUGAUACUAUUAGUCUUGAAUAUCGUUGAGGUUGGCGGAAUAUAUCAUGUAGCGGUGAAAUGCAUAGAUAUGAUAUAGAACACCGAUUGCGAAGGCAGCUAACUAAGCGAUGAUUGACGCUGAGGCACGAAAGCGUGGGGAUCAAACA